RNAcentral lists this non-coding RNA (148 nucleotides) under Nomascus leucogenys (northern white-cheeked gibbon). Lineage: Eukaryota; Metazoa; Chordata; Mammalia; Primates; Hylobatidae. The record is from Rfam by way of RNAcentral.
GCCGGGCGUGGUGGCGCAUGCCUGUAAUCCCCGCUACUCAGGAGGCUGAGGCAGGAGAAUCGCUUGAACCCAGGAGGUGGAGGUUGCAGUGAGCCGAGAUUGCGCCAUUGCACUCCAGCCUGGGUGACAGAGGGAGACUCUGUCUCAA